This 442-nucleotide ribosomal RNA is filed under the name uncultured bacterium. Its description in RNAcentral is "partial 16S ribosomal RNA". It matches the Rfam family "Bacterial small subunit ribosomal RNA", at positions 338 to 795 of the family's 1533-position model. The record is from RNAcentral.
CCUACGGGAGGCAGCAGUAGGGAAUCUUUCACAAUGGGCGAAAGCCUGAUGGAGCAACGCCGCGUGCAGGAUGCAGGCCUUCGGGUUGUAAACUGCUUGUAUAAGCGAGAAAUAUGAUGGUAACUUAUGAAUAAGGAUCGGCUAACUACGUGCCAGCAGCCGCGGUCAUACGUAGGAUCCGAGCAUUAUCCGGAGUGACUGGGUGUAAAGAGUUGCGUAGGUGGCAUAAUAAGUAGCUAGUGAAAUCUGGUGGCUCAACCAUUCAGACUAUUAGCUAAACUGUUAAGCUCGAGACCGUUAGGGGUAACUGGAAUUUCUAGUGUAGGAGUGAAAUCCGUAGAUAUUAGAAGGAACACCAAUAGCGUAGGCAGGUUGCUGGGACGGUUCUGACACUAAGGCACGAAAGCGUAGGGAGCAAACGGGAUUAGAUACCCUUGUAGUC